This 805-nucleotide ribosomal RNA is filed under the name uncultured organism. Its description in RNAcentral is "bacterial SSU rRNA". It matches the Rfam family "Bacterial small subunit ribosomal RNA", at positions 510 to 1326 of the family's 1533-position model. The record is from RNAcentral.
AGCAGCAGCGGUAAUACGGAGGCGCCAAGCGUUAUCCGGGAUUAUUGGGCGUAAAGCGUCUGUCGGCGGUAAUGUAAGUCUGGUGUGAAAUUUCAAUGCUUAACAUUGAAUGCGUACCGGAAACUAUAUUACUAGAGUCUAAGAGAGGCCACUGGAAUUUCUGUUGUAGGGGUAAAAUCCGUAGAUAACAGAAGGAACACCAAAAGCGAAAGCAGGUGGCUGGCUUAGUACUGACGCUCAGAGACGAAAGCGUGGGUAGCGAACGGGAUUAGAUACCCCGGUAGUCCACGCCGUAAACUAUGAGUGCUAGGUGUUGGAGGGAUUCGACCCCCUUCAGUGUCUACAGCUAACGCGUUAAGCACUCCGCCUGGGGAGUACGGUCGCAAGACUAAAACUCAAAGGAAUAGACGGGGACCCGCACAAGCGGUGGAUCAUGUGGUUUAAUUCGACGAUAAGCGGGAAACCUCACCUAGACUUGACAUCUCGAGAAGGUUCUAGAAAUAGAACUGUGCCUUUUGGAACUCGAUGACAGGUGCUGCAUGGUUGUCGUCAGCUCGUGCCCUGAGGUGUUCGGUUAAGUCCGUAAACGAGCGCAACCCUUGUAAUAUGUUGUAUUUUUCAUAUUAGACUGCCGGCUCCAAGCCGGAGGAAGGUAGGGAUGACGUCAAAUCAGCAUGGCCCUUAUGUCUAGGGCUACACACGUGAUACAAUGGAUCGUACAAUGGGUAGCCAAGGAGUAAUCUGGAGCCAAUCCCAAAAACGAUCCUCAGUUCGGAUUGAGGUCUGCAACUCGACCUCAUGAAGU